Mytilus californianus (California mussel) is the source of this 293-nucleotide long non-coding RNA. RefSeq lists it as uncharacterized. NCBI's taxonomy places the organism in Eukaryota, Metazoa, Mollusca, Bivalvia, Mytilida, Mytilidae. The record is from RefSeq and is a predicted model, not a curated record. The transcript has 3 exons.
UUAUCUAACCCGGAUGACGAUUGAUGACCACGAAUAGCAUAUACACGUCGAUUGUCUGAUGGUAUCCUAGACAAUGGCUUUUCCAUCUGAAGAUGUACCAUCGACUAAAGAUCAAAAGAAGAGAAAACGUAAUGGAAUUAACGAUUUGACAAACCGAUUUUCAGUGAAUGGACGAAAACAACUACCAAUAAAGACUAAAAAUAAAAAGAGCAGGAAGUUUUCAAAAAUGGACCACCAAUGGAUAACAAAGAAGAAUCGUCAUCUCCUAAGAAGAAAACAAAUUAGGGUUAUGA